This 408-nucleotide ribosomal RNA is filed under the name uncultured bacterium. Its description in RNAcentral is "partial 16S ribosomal RNA". It matches the Rfam family "Bacterial small subunit ribosomal RNA", at positions 28 to 526 of the family's 1533-position model. The record is from RNAcentral.
GACGAACGCUGGCGGCGUGCUUAACACAUGCAAGUCGAACGAAGUGGCGAACGGGUGAGUAACGCGGAAUCAACAUGCCCUUCAGAGGGGGACAACAGUUGGAAACGACUGCUAAUACCGCAUACUGACGGGGGGGAGUGCGUCUGAUUAGCUAGUUGGAGGGGUAACGGCCAACAAAGGCGAUGAUCAGUAGCCGUUUUGGGAGGAUGAACGGCCACAUGGGGCCUGAGACACGGCCCAGAUUCCUACGGGAGGCAGCAGUGUGGAAUCUUCCGCAAUGGACGAAAGUCUGACGGAGCAACGCCGCGUGAGUGAUGACGGCCUUCGGGUUGUAAAGCUCUGUUAAUCGGGACGCGGUACCGGAAUAGAAAGCCACGGCUAACUACGUGCCAGCCGCCGCGGUAAUAC